GUUAAUAAGGGCGCACGGUGGAUGCCUUGGCACUAGAAGCCGAAGAAGGACGUGACAAACGACGAAAUGCUUUGGGGAGCUGUAAGUAAGCGCUGAUCCAGAGAUGUCCGAAUGGGGGAACCCACUAACUAAUGGUUAGUAUCCAUAACUGUUAAGGUUAUGAGAAGGAAGACGCAGUGAACUGAAACAUCUAAGUAGCUGCAGGAAGAGAAAGCAAACGCGAUUGCCUUAGUAGCGGCGAGCGAAACGGCAGGAGGGCAAACCGAAGUGUUUACACUUCGGGGUUGUAGGACUGCGACGUGGGACUUUAAAAGGAUAGAAGAAUUACCUGGGAAGGUAAGCCAAAGAGAGUAACAGCCUCGUAUUUAAAAUUCUUUUGAGCCCUAGCAGUAUCCUGAGUACGGCGAGACACGUGAAAUCUCGUUGGAAUCUGGGAGGACCAUCUCCCAACCCUAAAUACUCUCUAGUGACCGAUAGUGAACCAGUACCGUGAGGGAAAGGUGAAAAGCACCCCGGGAGGGGAGUGAAAUAGAACCUGAAACCGUGUGCCUACAACAAGUUCGAGCCCGUUAAUGGGUGAGAGCGUGCCUUUUGUAGAAUGAACCGGCGAGUUACGAUAUGAUGCGAGGUUAAGUUGAAGAGACGGAGCCGUAGGGAAACCGAGUCUUAAUAGGGCGAUUUAGUAUCAUGUUGUAGACCCGAAACCAUGUGACCUACCCAUGAGCAGGUUGAAGGUGAGGUAAAACUCACUGGAGGACCGAACCAGGGCACGUUGAAAAGUGCUUGGAUGACUUGUGGGUAGCGGAGAAAUUCCAAACGAACUUGGAGAUAGCUGGUUCUCUCCGAAAUAGCUUUAGGGCUAGCGUCGAUGUUAAGUCUCUUGGAGGUAGAGCACUGUUUGGGUGAGGGGUCCAUCUCGGAUUACCAAUCUCAGAUAAACUCCGAAUGCCAACGAGAUAUCAUCGGCAGUCAGACUGCGAGUGCUAAGAUCCGUAGUCGAAAGGGAAACAGCCCAGACCACCAGCUAAGGUCCCAAAAUAACUGUUAAGUGGAAAAGGAUGUGGGGUUGCACAGACAACUAGGAUGUUAGCUUAGAAGCAGCUAUUCAUUCAAAGAGUGCGUAAUAGCUCACUAGUCGAGUGACCCUGCGCCGAAAAUGUACCGGGGCUAAAACAGUUUACCGAAGCUGUGGAUGACACAAAAGUGUCAUGGUAGGAGAGCGUUCUAUGUGUGAAGAAGGUGUACCGUGAGGAGCGCUGGAACGCAUAGAAGUGAGAAUGCCGGUAUGAGUAGCGAAAGACAGGUGAGAAUCCUGUCCACCGUAAGACUAAGGUUUCCAGGGGAAGGCUCGUCCGCCCUGGGUUAGUCGGGACCUAAGGAGAGACCGAAAGGUGUAUCCGAUGGCCAACAGGUUGAUAUUCCUGUACUAGAGUAUAUAGUGAUGGAGGGACGCAGUAGGCUAACUAAACCGGACGAUUGGAAGAGUCCGGCUAAGCAGUGAGGUGUAAGAUGAGUCAAAUGCUUAUCUUUAUAACAUUGAGCUGUGAUGGGGAGCGAAUUUUAGUAGCGAAGUUAGUGAUGUCACACUGCCAAGAAAAGCUUCUAGCGUUUAAUGAUACUCUACCCGUACCGCAAACCGACACAGGUAGUCGAGGCGAGUAGCCUCAGGUGAUCGAGAGAACUCUCGUUAAGGAACUCGGCAAAAUGACCCCGUAACUUCGGGAGAAGGGGUGCUGACUUAGGUCAGCCGCAGUGAAUAGGCCCAAGCAACUGUUUAUCAAAAACACAGCUCUCUGCUAAAUCGUAAGAUGAUGUAUAGGGGGUGACGCCUGCCCGGUGCUGGAAGGUUAAGAGGAGGGUUUAGCGCAAGCGAAGAUCUGAAUUGAAGCCCCAGUAAACGGCGGCCGUAACUAUAACGGUCCUAAGGUAGCGAAAUUCCUUGUCGGGUAAGUUCCGACCCGCACGAAAGGCGUAAUGAUUUGGGCACUGUCUCAACGAGAGACUCGGUGAAAUUUUAGUACCUGUGAAGAUGCAGGUUACCCGCGACAGGACGGAA
Molecule: ribosomal RNA, 2056 nt
Filed under: Streptococcus pyogenes
Lineage: Bacteria; Bacillati; Bacillota; Bacilli; Lactobacillales; Streptococcaceae
Description: bacterial LSU rRNA
Rfam family: Bacterial large subunit ribosomal RNA
Source: RNAcentral